RNAcentral lists this ribosomal RNA (427 nucleotides) under bacterium E-1-0-6E. Its description in RNAcentral is "bacterial SSU rRNA". It matches the Rfam family "Bacterial small subunit ribosomal RNA", at positions 469 to 895 of the family's 1533-position model. The record is from RNAcentral.
UGGACGUUACUCGCAGAAUAAGCACCGGCUAACUCUGUGCCAGCAGCCGCGGUAAUACAGAGGGUGCAAGCGUUAAUCGGAUUUACUGGGCGUAAAGCGCGCGUAGGUGGCCAAUUAAGUCAAAUGUGAAAUCCCCGAGCUUAACUUGGGAAUUGCAUUCGAUACUGGUUGGCUAGAGUAUGGGAGAGGAUGGUAGAAUUCCAGGUGUAGCGGUGAAAUGCGUAGAGAUCUGGAGGAAUACCGAUGGCGAAGGCAGCCAUCUGGCCUAAUACUGACACUGAGGUGCGAAAGCAUGGGGAGCAAACAGGAUNAGAUACCCUGGUAGUCCAUGCCGUAAACGAUGUCUACUAGCCGUUGGGGCCUUUGAGGCUNNAGUGGCGCAGCUANCGCGAUANGUAGACCGCCUGGGNAGUACNGUCGCAAGACU